Molecule: transfer RNA, 88 nt
Filed under: Candidatus Kentrum sp. TC
Lineage: Bacteria; Pseudomonadati; Pseudomonadota; Gammaproteobacteria
Description: Candidatus Kentron sp. TC tRNA_Ser_GGA
Rfam family: tRNA
About the family: Transfer RNA (tRNA) molecules are approximately 80 nucleotides in length. Their secondary structure includes four short double-helical elements and three loops (D, anti-codon, and T loops).
Source: RNAcentral
GGAGAGGUGUCCGAGCGGUUGAAGGAGCGUGCCUGGAAAGUGCGUGUACGUUGAUAGCGUAUCGGGGGUUCGAAUCCCUCCCUCUCCG